This is a non-coding RNA of Caulochytrium protostelioides, 114 nucleotides long. The record is from the annotation of a GenBank genome assembly. Lineage: Eukaryota; Fungi; Chytridiomycota; Caulochytriomycetes; Caulochytriales; Caulochytriaceae.
GCAUCUGUGGUUUAGUGGUAAAAUUAACGCUUGCCAUAAGAUCUCUGACUGGUUUAUCCUUCAGAUGACCCUAGCAAACUGUGUUAGCCCCGGGUUCGAUUCCCGGCAGAUGCA